RNAcentral lists this ribosomal RNA (380 nucleotides) under Helix nucula. RNAcentral's name for it is "partial 16S ribosomal RNA". It matches the Rfam family "Bacterial large subunit ribosomal RNA", at positions 1918 to 2611 of the family's 2925-position model. The record is from RNAcentral. Lineage: Eukaryota; Metazoa; Mollusca; Gastropoda; Stylommatophora; Helicidae.
GAAAAAUAAAUAGCCGCAGUACCCUGACUGUGCAAAGGUAGCAUAAUCAAUUGGCUUUUAAUUAGAGUCUGGUAUGAACGAAAAUAUGGGUGGUAACUGUCUUUAGUAUACUAGUUGGAACUUUCUUAGCACGUGAAAAUACUUGCAAACUUCAAAAAGACGAGAAGACCCUAGAAACUUUAAUAAGUUUUUGUUGGGGCGACAGAAUUACAGUUAACUAAUUUUUAAAGACAUGACACUCAGUUGGAAGAAUAAGUUACUCUAGGGAUAACAGCAUAAUUUUAAUAGUUUGUGACCUCGAUGUUGGACUAGGUAUUGUACCCUUAAGGCAAGAGUAUAAGAUGCUCUGUUCGAGCAGUUUUACCUACGUGAUCUGAGUC